RNAcentral lists this ribosomal RNA (465 nucleotides) under Vreelandella stevensii. RNAcentral's name for it is "partial 16S ribosomal RNA". It matches the Rfam family "Bacterial small subunit ribosomal RNA", at positions 338 to 795 of the family's 1533-position model. The record is from RNAcentral. Lineage: Bacteria; Pseudomonadati; Pseudomonadota; Gammaproteobacteria; Oceanospirillales; Halomonadaceae.
CCUACGUGGGGCUGUAGUGGGGAAUAUUGGACAAUGGGCGAAAGCCUGAUCCAGCCAUGCCGCGUGUGUGAAGAAGGCCUUCGGGUUGGAAAGCACUUUCAGUGGGGAAGAAAGCCUUGGGGCUAAUACCCUCGAGGAAGGACAUCACCCACAGAAGAAGCACCGGCUAACUCCGUGCCAGCAGCCGCGGUAAUACGGAGGGUGCGAGCGUUAAUCGGAAUUACUGGGCGUAAAGCGCGCGUAGGCGGUCUGAUAAGCCGGUUGUGAAAGCCCCGGGCUCAACCUGGGAACGGCAUCCGGAACUGUCAGGCUAGAGUGCAGGAGAGGAAGGUAGAAUUCCCGGUGUAGCGGUGAAAUGCGUAGAGAUCGGGAGGAAUACCAGUGGCGAAGGCGGCCUUCUGGACUGACACUGACGCUGAGGUGCGAAAGCGUGGGUAGCAAACAGGAUUAGAUACCCCAGUAGUC